UUCACUUUAGCGAGACUGCCGGUAAUAAACCGGAGGAAGGUGGGGAUGACGUCAAAUCAUCAUGCCCCUUAUGACCUGGGCUACACACGUGCUACAAUGGUUGGUACAACGAGUAUGCGAGUCGGUGACGGCGAGCUAAUCUCUUAAAGCCAAUCUCAGUUCGGAUUGUAGGCUGCAACUCGCCUACAUGAAGUCGGAAUCGCUAGUAAUCGCGGAUCAGCACGCCGCGGUGAAUACGUUCCCGGGCCUUGUACACACCGCCCGUCACACCACGAGAGUUUGUAACACCCGAAGUCGGUGAGGUAACCGUUAUGGAGCCAGCCGCCUAAGGUGAUCAG
This 338-nucleotide ribosomal RNA is filed under the name uncultured bacterium. RNAcentral describes it as "bacterial SSU rRNA". It matches the Rfam family "Bacterial small subunit ribosomal RNA", at positions 1134 to 1470 of the family's 1533-position model. The record is from RNAcentral.